AUGAACAGAGGUCGUAUUGGGGCUGAGGCUGAGGUUGGAGUAGAUUCCUAGGUGCAAGCGCAGUACAGAACGCUUGUUUUUCCAGAGUUCUCGCCCAAUGCGACGCCCCCUUUGUGCAUAUGAUUGGGAAGAGGGCUAGUAGCCACCUAGACUCAGGCUGGCUACAAAUCAAA
This 173-nucleotide small nuclear RNA is filed under the name Togula jolla. Its description in RNAcentral is "partial Dictyostelium signal recognition particle". The record is from RNAcentral. Lineage: Eukaryota; Dinophyceae; Gymnodiniales; Gymnodiniaceae.